UACGUAGGGUGCAGGCGUUAAUCGGAAUUACUGGGCGUAAAGCGUGCGCAGGCGGUGAUGUAAGACCGAUGUGAAAUCCCCGGGCUUAACCUGGGAACUGCAUUGGUGACUGCAUUGCUGGAGUAUGGCAGAGGGGGGUGGAAUUCCACGUGUAGCAGUGAAAUGCGUAGAGAUGUGGAGGAACACCGAUGGCGAAGGCAGCCCCCUGGGCCAAUACGUGACGCUCAUGCACGAAAGCGUGGGGAGCAAACAGG
Molecule: ribosomal RNA, 254 nt
Filed under: uncultured bacterium
Lineage: Bacteria
Description: partial 16S ribosomal RNA
Rfam family: Bacterial small subunit ribosomal RNA
Source: RNAcentral